Molecule: unclassified non-coding RNA, 359 nt
Filed under: uncultured fungus
Lineage: Eukaryota; Fungi
Description: partial contains small subunit ribosomal RNA, internal transcribed spacer 1, and 5.8S ribosomal RNA
Rfam family: Eukaryotic small subunit ribosomal RNA (bases 1-73)
Source: RNAcentral
GCAAACUUGGUCAUUUAGAGGAAGUAAAAGUCGUAACAAGGUUUCCGUAGGUGAACCUGCGGAAGGAUCAUUAAUGAAUAACUUGAUGUGGUUGUAGCUGGCUCUUAGGAGCAUGUGCACGCCCAUCAUCUUAUCUUUCCACCUGUGCACAUAAUGUAGAUCUGGAUAACUCUCGCUCCUCGGAGCGGAAACAAGGAUUGCUGCGUCGCAAGGCCGGCUCUCUUUGAAUUUCCAGGUCUAUGUCAUUACAAACUCCAAUUGAAUGAUGUAGAAUGAAGUCAAUGGGCUCUAAGCCUAUAAAACAAAAUACAACUUUCAGCAACGGAUCUCUUGGCUCUCGCAUCGAUGAAGAACGCAGC